UACGUAGGGGGCUAGCGUUGUCCGGAAUUAUUGGGCGUAAAGCGCACGUAGGCGGCAUUGCAAGUCGGAUGUGAAAUCUUAUGGCUUAACCAUAAAAGUGCAUCCGAAACUGCAGUGCUUGAGUACUUAAGAGGAUCGCGGAAUUCCCGGUGUAGAGGUGAAAUUCGUAGAUAUCGGGAGGAACACCAGUGGCGAAGGCGGCGAUCUGGGAAGAUACUGACGCUGAGGUGCGAAAGCGUGGGGAGCAAACAGG
Molecule: ribosomal RNA, 253 nt
Filed under: uncultured bacterium
Lineage: Bacteria
Description: partial 16S ribosomal RNA
Rfam family: Bacterial small subunit ribosomal RNA
Source: RNAcentral